Solanum tuberosum (potato) is the source of this 1683-nucleotide long non-coding RNA. RefSeq lists it as uncharacterized. The record is from RefSeq and is a predicted model, not a curated record. The transcript has 5 exons. Lineage: Eukaryota; Viridiplantae; Streptophyta; Magnoliopsida; Solanales; Solanaceae.
UAGGAACAGACAGAAGACAUACAAAGAUACAUAUUAAUUAGGCGUCAUUUCCAUGAUUACAUUCAUAUUUAUCGGCUCCGUUGACUCCUCAAAGUCAAAGUGAAAUUCUUGAAGAAAGCUUUCAAGGUCACAAGGAAUGACUGGCAAAAAUUGCUUACCUGAGCCAGCUUAGAAGAUGAACACAUGCUUCUGGUGUGCGAAUUCAUUCCAAGAGGAAGUUUGGAAAAUCAUCUAUUCAGAAAGGAGUGCUUAUUUCCAACCACUAUCAUAGAAUCUCCGAAUGAAGGUUACUCUCGAGGCAACUAAAGGACUGACAUAUCUCCACAGCCCAGAAGCUAAAAUUAUAUAUCAGGAUUUCAAAUCAUCUAACAUUUUGCUUGCUGCUAAUUACAAUGCAAAGUUGAGUCAAUCAACAGUAAAAUGGGUACCUUCUGUUGUGCUGCUCCCGAGUAUAUGACCACUGCAUCAGUGUUGAAUUAAUUUGACAGCAUGUCCAGUCUCCUCAACUUUUGUAAAUGUAACUCUUUAGGACACUCUAAUUAUCGACCUGUGGCUUCUUUGAUUUAUCUGUCUCUUUAAUAGGUAGAUUUUUUGUUUCUGUGUCGAAAAACUACAUGUUGACCAUUCAUUUAGGUAGUGUAAAUGAUGUUUUAAUAAAAGACUACUGCAAAAAAUUCCUCCACCUUAAAGCAUAAUCGAACUUGCAUAACACGACAGUCAUAGGUGAUUCAGGUAAAUACAGAGGGAUAACACACGCUGCUCAAUUAGUUCUAAUGGUAAAUGUUGUUUUAUUACAUCCUCAAAUAGAGGCCUCACAUUCGAACUUGGGAAACAUUAAGUCAAUAAGUGCACUAAAAUGAAUAUAGUGUGAAUAGACUUCCUUCAUCAAUUAGCCUCGCUGAAUUUGUUAAAUUAUCACACAAAUUUUCUUAAGUUCUUGAUGAGGUCUCUCUUAAGAGUUAUCUCCUCUGUUUAAUCCUUCAGUCUUUCAUACUCGCAAAUAUCAAUACUAUGUGUCCUGAAAGAAAUUGGGAGUGUAACACUACUUGGUUUGUUCUGUCAUGUAACCUGAGAUAAUUUCUUUUCUCAGCUUCUGAUUGUCGCCUCUCAUAUGUAAAUCAUAUAACCACCAGAACUGACGUAUACAGUUUUGGAGUUGAAGAAAAACCGCCCCCACGGAGAACAUAAUCUAAUCCAAUAGGCUUAAGCCUUUAUAGAUUACCUCUAUUUUAUAGUUUACUGACAAAUUAAAGUUCAUCUCAAGAGUUGUACAUGUUCAUGAAUAAAAGUAAUAAACUUAAUUUUAUUUCUUUAACAUGUGAUGCACUCACUGUAUUACUUCAGAAAUAAUGAAUAGUUGGUGCAGUUAUACAAUAUCUCUUUACUUACCGUUUGUCUACUAUAGAUUCGAAGACCACAGGGUGAGAUUGUAUUCAUUUUGUCCCUAUAUAAGAUGACAUAGUUAUGUCGAUUAUUGUCUCCUAACUCCUUGGAGAAGAGAUUUUCCAUUUUGUAUAGGAUAGUCAAGGGAUGGGAUGGGGGCCGUUGUAAUCCAGCAAAACUCAAUGGGAUGGAUGGGUGAGGAUUUAGGGGUAGCCGGUGUAGGAUAGUCCAGGGAUGGGAUGGGGGUUGGAUGCAAUGGCUAAUUUGGAAUUUUCACUAAGGUUGUUUAGUAAUUUCUUU